Molecule: ribosomal RNA, 474 nt
Filed under: Streptococcus sanguinis
Lineage: Bacteria; Bacillati; Bacillota; Bacilli; Lactobacillales; Streptococcaceae
Description: bacterial SSU rRNA
Rfam family: Bacterial small subunit ribosomal RNA
Source: RNAcentral
GACGAACGCUGGCGGCGUGCCUAAUACAUGCAAGUAGAACGCUGAAGAGAGGAGCUUGCUCUUCUUGGAUGAGUUGCGAACGGGUGAGUAACGCGUAGGUAACCUACCUGGUAGCGGGGGAUAACUAUUGGAAACGAUAGCUAAUACCGCAUAAAAUUGAUUAUUGCAUGAUAAUUAAUUGAAAGAUGCAAUUGCAUCACUACCAGAUGGACCUGCGUUGUAUUAGCUAGUUGGUGAGGUAACGGCUCACCAAGGCGACGAUACAUAGCCGACCUGAGAGGGUGAUCGGCCACACUGGGACUGAGACACGGCCCAGACUCCUACGGGAGGCAGCAGUAGGGAAUCUUCGGCAAUGGGGGGAACCCUGACCGAGCAACGCCGCGUGAGUGAAGAAGGUUUUCGGAUCGUAAAGCUCUGUUGUAAGAGAAGAACGGGCGUGAGAGUGGAAAGUUCACACUGUGACGGUAUCUACCA